AGGCGGAUGUUUAAGUGAGAUGUGAAAUGCCCGGGAUUAACUUGGGUGCUGCAUUUCAAACUGCAUAUCUAGAGUGCAGGAGAGGAGAAUGGAAUUCCUAGUGUAGACGUGAAAUGCGUAGAGAUUAGGAAGAGGACCAGGCGCGAACCCGAUUGUCUGGACUGUAACUGACGCUGAGGCAUGAAAGCGUGGGUAGCAAACAGGAUUAGAUACCCUGGUAGACCACGCCGUAAACGAUGAGUACUAGGUGUAGGAGCUAUCGACCCCUUCUGUGCCGCAGUAACCACAUUAAGUACUCCGCCUGGGAAGUACGAUCGCAAGAUUAAAACUCACGCGAAUUGACGG
This 345-nucleotide ribosomal RNA is filed under the name uncultured bacterium. RNAcentral's name for it is "bacterial SSU rRNA". It matches the Rfam family "Bacterial small subunit ribosomal RNA", at positions 573 to 916 of the family's 1533-position model. The record is from RNAcentral.